This 253-nucleotide ribosomal RNA is filed under the name uncultured bacterium. RNAcentral describes it as "partial 16S ribosomal RNA". It matches the Rfam family "Bacterial small subunit ribosomal RNA", at positions 524 to 776 of the family's 1533-position model. The record is from RNAcentral.
UACGGAGGUGGCAAGCGUUGCUCGGAAUCACUGGGCGUAAAGGGCGCGUAGGCGGGGAGGUAAGUCGGGUGUGAAAUCCCUCGGCCCAACCGAGGAACUGCGCCCGAGACUGCUUCUCUUGAGUCCCGGAGAGGAAGGUGGAAUUCCCGGUGUAGCGGUGAAAUGUGUAGAGAUCGGGAGGAACACCGGUGGCGAAGGCGGCCUUCUGGACGGUGACUGACGCUGAGGCGCGAAAGCGUGGGGAGCAGACGGG